GACGGUUGUCCCGGUUUAAGCGUGUAGGCUGGUUUUCCAGGCAAAUCCGGAAAAUCAAGGCUGAGGCGUGAUGACGAGGCACUACGGUGCUGAAGCAACAAAUGCCAUGCUUCCAGGAAAAGCCUCUAAGCAUCAGGUAACAUCAAAUCGUACCCCAAACCGACACAGGUGGUCAGGUAGAGAAUACCAAGGCGCUUGAGAGAACUCGGGUGAAGGAACUAGGCAAAAUGGUGCCGUAACUUCGGGAGAAGGCACGCUGAUAUGUAGGUGAAGCGACUUGCUCGUGGAGCUGAAAUCAGUCGAAGAUACCAGCUGGCUGCAACUGUUUAUUAAAAACACAGCACUGUGCAAACACGAAAGUGGACGUAUACGGUGUGACGCCUGCCCGGUGCCGGAAGGUUAAUUGAUGGGGUCAGCGCAAGCGAAGCUCUUGAUCGAAGCCCCGGUAAACGGCGGCCGUAACUAUAACGGUCCUAAGGUAGCGAAAUUCCUUGUCGGGUAAGUUCCGACCUGCACGAAUGGCGUAAUGAUGGCCAGGCUGUCUCCACCCGAGACUCAGUGAAAUUGAACUCGCUGUGAAGAUGCAGUGUACCCGCGGCAAGACGGAAAGACCCCGUGAACCUUUACUAUAGCUUGACACUGAACAUUGAGCCUUGAUGUGUAGGAUAGGUGGGAGGCUUUGAAGUGUGGACGCCAGUCUGCAUGGAGCCGACCUUGAAAUACCACCCUUUAAUGUUUGAUGUUCUAACGUUGACCCGUAAUCCGGGUUGCGGACAGUGUCUGGUGGGUAGUUUGACUGGGGCGGUCUCCUCCUAAAGAGUAACGGAGGAGCACGAAGGUUGGCUAAUCCUGGUCGGACAUCAGGAGGUUAGUGCAAUGGCAUAAGCCAGCUUGACUGCGAGCGUGACGGCGCGAGCAGGUGCGAAAGCAGGUCAUAGUGAUCCGGUGGUUCUGAAUGGAAGGGCCAUCGCUCAACGGAUAAAAGGUACUCCGGGGAUAACAGGCUGAUACCGCCCAAGAGUUCAUAUCGACGGCGGUGUUUGGCACCUCGAUGUCGGCUCAUCACAUCCUGGGGCUGAAGUAGGUCCCAAGGGUAUGGCUGUUCGCCAUUUAAAGUGGUACGCGAGCUGGGUUUAGAACGUCGUGAGACAGUUCGGUCCCUAUCUGCCGUGGGCGCUGGAGAACUGAGGGGGGCUGCUCCUAGUACGAGAGGACCGGAGUGGACGCAUCACUGGUGUUCGGGUUGUCAUGCCAAUGGCACUGCCCGGUAGCUAAAUGCGGAAGAGAUAAGUGCUGAAAGCAUCUAAGCACGAAACUUGCCCCGAGAUGAGUUCUCCCUGACUCCUUGAGAGUCCUGAAGGAACGUUGAAGACGACGACGUUGAU
RNAcentral lists this ribosomal RNA (1385 nucleotides) under Escherichia coli. Its description in RNAcentral is "partial 23S ribosomal RNA". It matches the Rfam family "Bacterial large subunit ribosomal RNA", at positions 1497 to 2857 of the family's 2925-position model. The record is from RNAcentral. Lineage: Bacteria; Pseudomonadati; Pseudomonadota; Gammaproteobacteria; Enterobacterales; Enterobacteriaceae.